This 268-nucleotide long non-coding RNA is filed under the name Physcomitrium patens. RNAcentral's name for it is "long non-coding RNA (PPAT_LNC012958)". Lineage: Eukaryota; Viridiplantae; Streptophyta; Bryopsida; Funariales; Funariaceae. The record is from RNAcentral.
CUUCUAUAAUUAGGUGCUUGGUACAUUUUCAAGCAAGGCUUCAAGUAAUACAACAACAUAUACUUAUUAUAAAGAAAAACCACAAUUUAAUGUGGAUGACAAGAUAUGAUUUAUUUUCUUGCAAUAUGAAGAAUAUUUGUUCUUUGGAUAAAUUAGAUUAUUAUAGGCUUGGACUUUUUUUUAUUUGUAAAUAAAUCCAUCUAAUUGCUUAUAAAUUAUUUCUACCAAAGUCAAAGAAGAUUCAUCUUUUAUUCCAUGAAUUUCUUCU